GUUUGUUCUGAGACUGAACAACAGGAGCAUGCUUUGUUCAGCUGUGCAGCAGGAGAUGGGUCAAAGGAGAUCUCAACAACGUCUGAUUCUCAGCUGACAUGUCAUGACAACACUCAACAGAUACAGACCCUGCCUUAGGAGGCCCAUCUAAAGAUCAUUGCAAGAAGGACAAAUAUCACAGCAGGAG
Long non-coding RNA from Danio aesculapii, 187 nucleotides. RefSeq lists it as uncharacterized. Lineage: Eukaryota; Metazoa; Chordata; Actinopteri; Cypriniformes; Danionidae. The record is from RefSeq and is a predicted model, not a curated record. The transcript has 4 exons.